UACGUAGGGGGCAAGCGUUGUCCGGAUUUAUUGGGCGUAAAGCGCGUGUAGGCGGCCCAGGUAGGUCCGCUGUGAAAACCCGAGGCUCAACCUCGGGACGUCGGCGGAAACCAUCUGGCUAGAGUCCGGAAGAGGAGAGUGGAAUUCCCGGUGUAGCGGUGAAAUGCGCAGAUAUCGGGAAGAACACCCGUGGCGAAGGCGGCUCUCUGGGACGGUACUGACGCUGAGACGCGAAAGCGUGGG
RNAcentral lists this ribosomal RNA (243 nucleotides) under uncultured bacterium. Its description in RNAcentral is "partial 16S ribosomal RNA". It matches the Rfam family "Bacterial small subunit ribosomal RNA", at positions 524 to 765 of the family's 1533-position model. The record is from RNAcentral.